UGAGCAACCUGCCCUUGACUCCGGAAUAACAGCUGGAAACAGCUGCUAAUACCGGAUACGACCUCCGAUGGCAUCAUCUGGAGGUGGAAAGCUCCGACGGUCAAGGAUGGGCUCGCGGCCUAUCAGCUUGUUGGUGAGGUAACGGCUCACCAAGGCGACGACGGGUAGCCGGCCUGAGAGGGCGACCGGCCACACUGGGACUGAGAUACGGCCCAGACUCCGUAGGGAGG
RNAcentral lists this ribosomal RNA (230 nucleotides) under uncultured bacterium. Its description in RNAcentral is "partial 16S ribosomal RNA". It matches the Rfam family "Bacterial small subunit ribosomal RNA", at positions 118 to 348 of the family's 1533-position model. The record is from RNAcentral.